RNAcentral lists this ribosomal RNA (497 nucleotides) under uncultured bacterium. RNAcentral describes it as "partial 16S ribosomal RNA". It matches the Rfam family "Bacterial small subunit ribosomal RNA", at positions 28 to 507 of the family's 1533-position model. The record is from RNAcentral.
GAUGAACGCUGGCGGCGUGCCUAAUACAUGCAAGUCGAGCGAACGGACGAGAAGCUUGCUUCUCUGAUGUUAGCGGCGGACGGGUGAGUAACACGUGGAUAACCUACCUAUAAGACUGGGAUAACUUCGGGAAACCGGAGCUAAUACCGGAUAAUAUUUUGAACCGCAUGGUUCAAAAGUGAAAGACGGUCUUGCUGUCACUUAUAGAUGGAUCCGCUCUGCAUUAGCUAGUUGGUAAGGUAACGGCUUACCAAGGCAACGAUGCAUAGCCGACCUGAGAGGGUGAUCGGCCACACUGGAACUGAGACACGGUCCAGACUCCUACGGGAGGCAGCAGUAGGGAAUCUUCCGCAAUGGGCGAAAGCCUGACGGAGCAACGCCGCGUGAGUGAUGAAGGUCUUCGGAUCGUAAAACUCUGUUAUUAGGGAAGAACAUAUGUGUAAGUAACUGUGCACAUCUUGACGGUACCUAAUCAGAAAGCCACGGCUAACUACGUG